UACGAAGGGGGCUAGCGUUGUUCGGAAUUACUGGGCGUAAAGCGCACGUAGGCGGAUUGUUAAGUCAGAGGUGAAAGCCUGGAGCUCAACUCCAGAACUGCCUUUGAUACUGGCAAUCUCGAGUCCGGAAGAGGUAAGUGGAACUGCGAGUGUAGAGGUGAAAUUCGUAGAUAUUCGCAAGAACACCAGUGGCGAAGGCGGCUUACUGGUCCGGUACUGACGCUGAGGUGCGAAAGCGUGGGGAGCAAACAGG
RNAcentral lists this ribosomal RNA (253 nucleotides) under uncultured bacterium. RNAcentral's name for it is "partial 16S ribosomal RNA". It matches the Rfam family "Bacterial small subunit ribosomal RNA", at positions 524 to 776 of the family's 1533-position model. The record is from RNAcentral.